Molecule: ribosomal RNA, 830 nt
Filed under: Pediococcus ethanolidurans
Lineage: Bacteria; Bacillati; Bacillota; Bacilli; Lactobacillales; Lactobacillaceae
Description: bacterial SSU rRNA
Rfam family: Bacterial small subunit ribosomal RNA
Source: RNAcentral
ACUAUAAAGUGAGUGGCGAACGGGUGAGUCACACGUGGGUAACCUGCCCAGAAGUGGGGGAUAACACCUGGAAACAGAUGCUAAUACCGCAUAACAAAAUUAACCGCAUGGUUGAUUUUUAAAAGAUGGCUUCGGCUAUCACUUCUGGAUGGACCCGCGGCGUAUUAGCUAGUUGGUGAGAUAAAGGCUCACCAAGGCAGUGAUACGUAGCCGACCUGAGAGGGUAAUCGGCCACAUUGGGACUGAGACACGGCCCAGACUCCUACGGGAGGCAGCAGUAGGGAAUCUUCCACAAUGGACGCAAGUCUGAUGGAGCAACGCCGCGUGAGUGAUGAAGGCUUUCGGGUCGUAAAACUCUGUUGUUGGAGAAGAACGUGUGUGAGAGUAACUGCUCAUGCAGUGACGGUAUCCAACCAGAAAGCCACGGCUAACUACGUGCCAGCAGCCGCGGUAAUACGUAGGUGGCAAGCGUUAUCCGGAUUUAUUGGGCGUAAAGCGAGCGCAGGCGGUCUUUUAAGUCUAAUGUGAAAGCCUUCGGCUUAACCCGAAGAAGUGCAUUGGAAACUGGGAGACUUGAGUGCAGAAGAGGAGAGUGGAACUCCAUGUGUAGCGGUGAAAUGCGUAGAUAUAUGGAAGAACACCAGUGGCGAACGCGGCUCUCUGGUCUGCAACUGACGCUGAGCUCGAAAGCAUGGGUAGCGAACAGGAUUAGAUACCCUGGUAGUCAUGCGUAACGAUGAUGCUAGUGUUGAGGUUUCGCCCUCAGUGCUGCAGCUACGCAUAAGCAUCGCUGGGAGUACGACGCAGUGAACUCAAAGAUUGACGGGGCC